GACGAACGCUGGCGGCGUGCUUAACACAUGCAAGUCGAACGGCAAGGCCCUUUUGGCGGUACUCGAGUGGCGACCGGGUGAGUAACACGUGAGUAACCUGCCCUUGCUUUUGGGAUAACUUCAGGAAACUGGGGAUAAUACCGGUAAGGCCUCCUUGCUGCUUGGUGGGGGUUGGAAAGCUUCGGGGGCUUUGGAUGGACUCGCGGGCUAUCGGCUUGUUGGUGGGGUAGUGGGUUACCGAGGCUUUGACGGGUAGCCGGACAGUGAGGGUGACCGGCUACACUGGGACUGAGAGGCGGCCCAGACGCCGACGGGAGGCAGCAGGGGGGAAGAUUGCACAAGGGGCGGAAGGCUGAUGCAGCAACGCCGCGGGCGGGAGAGCGGCCUUCGGGUGGAAGACCGCUUGCAGCAGGAGCGAAGCUUGUGGUGACGGUACCUGCAGAAGAAGCACCGGCUAACUACGUG
This 465-nucleotide ribosomal RNA is filed under the name uncultured bacterium. RNAcentral describes it as "partial 16S ribosomal RNA". It matches the Rfam family "Bacterial small subunit ribosomal RNA", at positions 28 to 507 of the family's 1533-position model. The record is from RNAcentral.